ACCGAAUGGCGUAGUGGUUAGUGACACUGAAUACUGAGCCGAUGGUCCCGGGUUCGAUUCCCGGCUGGGGUA
Molecule: transfer RNA, 72 nt
Filed under: Plutella xylostella (diamondback moth)
Lineage: Eukaryota; Metazoa; Arthropoda; Insecta; Lepidoptera; Plutellidae
Description: tRNA-Ser
Source: RNAcentral